GUUUUCUGCACUACCAUCCUGAACAUGACUGAUGCCUCUCAUCUCUGAAGCUAAGCUGGGUUGGGCCUGGUUAGUACUUGGAAGGGAGACAGUCUGGGAAUGUCAGGUGCUUUAGCUA
This 118-nucleotide ribosomal RNA is filed under the name Dasypus novemcinctus (nine-banded armadillo). The record is from RNAcentral. Lineage: Eukaryota; Metazoa; Chordata; Mammalia; Cingulata; Dasypodidae.